AUAAGACUCAGAUGGACGUUCGGUCUCACAUCUAAUCGACUUCCGUUCCUUAAAUCGACGUUUAAUUCUGAAGUCACGUCCUCAUAUCAGUGUCCAAUACUUCAACUCCUAAUCGACGUCCUAUGUGACUUUUUUAGUCAUAAAAAACGACGUCUUCAGGUUUCAAUUGCGCAAUUAUUUGUUUACAUUUCACCGGGAAGUUUU
Molecule: long non-coding RNA, 204 nt
Filed under: Mytilus galloprovincialis (Mediterranean mussel)
Lineage: Eukaryota; Metazoa; Mollusca; Bivalvia; Mytilida; Mytilidae
Source: RNAcentral